This 77-nucleotide transfer RNA is filed under the name Candidatus Eubacterium faecigallinarum. Its description in RNAcentral is "tRNA-Pro". It matches the Rfam family "tRNA". From Rfam's summary of the family: Transfer RNA (tRNA) molecules are approximately 80 nucleotides in length. The record is from RNAcentral. Lineage: Bacteria; Bacillati; Bacillota; Clostridia; Eubacteriales; Eubacteriaceae.
CGAGGCAUAGCUCAGUUUGGUAGAGCGCUACGUUCGGGACGUAGAGGCCGCAGGUUCGAAUCCUGUUGCCUCGACCA